Molecule: ribosomal RNA, 459 nt
Filed under: uncultured Treponema sp.
Lineage: Bacteria; Pseudomonadati; Spirochaetota; Spirochaetia; Treponematales; Treponemataceae
Description: partial 16S ribosomal RNA
Rfam family: Bacterial small subunit ribosomal RNA
Source: RNAcentral
ACGGGAGGCAGCAGCUAAGAAUAUUCCACAAUGGACGAAAGUCUGAUGGAGCCACGCCGCGUGGACGAUGAAGGCCGGAAGGUUGUAAAGUCCUUUAGCAAGUGAGGAAUAAGCGGGAGAGGGAAUGCUCUCGUGGUGACUGUAGCUUGAGAAUAAGGGUCGGCUAAUUACGUGCCAGCAGCCGCGGUAACACGUAAGUUGCUAGCGUUGUUCGGAAUUAUUGGGCGUAAAGGGCAUGUAGGCGGUUUUGCAAGCUUGGUGUGAAAUCUCGGAGCUCAACUCCGAAAUUGCGUUGAGAACUGCAUAACUGGAGUCACUGAGGGGCAAUCAGAAUUCCUGGUGUAGGGGUGAAAUCUGUAGAUAUCAGGAAGAAUACCAAUGGCGAAGGCAGGUUACCAGCAGAUGACUGACGCUGAGGUGCGCAGGUGCGGGGAGCAAACAGGAUUAGAUACCCUGGUA